This 497-nucleotide ribosomal RNA is filed under the name uncultured bacterium. RNAcentral's name for it is "partial 16S ribosomal RNA". It matches the Rfam family "Bacterial small subunit ribosomal RNA", at positions 28 to 507 of the family's 1533-position model. The record is from RNAcentral.
GAUGAACGCUGGCGGCGUGCCUAAUACAUGCAAGUCGAGCGAACAGACGAGGAGCUUGCUCCUCUGACGUUAGCGGCGGACGGGUGAGUAACACGUGGAUAACCUACCUAUAAGACUGGGAUAACUUCGGGAAACAGGAGAUACUACCGGAUAAUAUAUUGAACCGCAUGGUUCAAUAGUGAAAGACGGUUUUGCUGUCACUUAUAGAUGGAUCCGCGCCGCAUUAGCUAGUUGGUAAGGUAACGGCUUACCAAGGCAACGAUGCGUAGCCGACCUGAGAGGGUGAUCGGCCACACUGGAACUGAGACACGGUCCAGACUCCUACGGGAGGCAGCAGUAGGGAAUCUUCCGCAAUGGGCGAAAGCCUGACGGAGCAACGCCGCGUGAGUGAUGAAGGUCUUCGGAUCGUAAAACUCUGUUAUUAGGGAAGAACAAAUGUGUAAUUAACUAUGCACGUCUUGACGGUACCUAAUCAGAAAGCCCCGGCUAACUACGUG